RNAcentral lists this ribosomal RNA (499 nucleotides) under uncultured bacterium. Its description in RNAcentral is "partial 16S ribosomal RNA". It matches the Rfam family "Bacterial small subunit ribosomal RNA", at positions 28 to 507 of the family's 1533-position model. The record is from RNAcentral.
GACGAACGCUGGCGGCGUGCCUAAUACAUGCCAGUCGAGCGGACCGAACAGGAGCUUGCUCUUGUUCGGUUAGCGGCGGACGGGUGAGUAACACGUGGGUAACCUGCCCGUAAGACCGGGAUAACUCCGGGAAACCGGAGCUAAUACCGGAUAACACCGAAGACCGCAUGGUCUUUGGUUGAAAGGCGGCUUCGGCUGCCACUUACGGAUGGGCCCGCGGCGCAUUAGCUAGUUGGUGAGGUAACGGCUCACCAAGGCGACGAUGCGUAGCCGGCCUGAGAGGGUGACCGGCCACACUGGGACUGAGACACGGCCCAGACUCCUACGGGAGGCAGCAGUAGGGAAUCUUCCGCAAUGGACGAAAGUCUGACGGAGCGACGCCGCGUGAGCGAAGAAGGGCUUCGGAUCGUAAAGCUCUGUUGUUAGGGAAGAAGAAGCGUCGUUCGAACAGGGCGGCGCGGUGACGGUACCUAACGAGAAAGCCCCGGCUAACUACGUG